RNAcentral lists this ribosomal RNA (253 nucleotides) under uncultured bacterium. RNAcentral describes it as "partial 16S ribosomal RNA". It matches the Rfam family "Bacterial small subunit ribosomal RNA", at positions 524 to 776 of the family's 1533-position model. The record is from RNAcentral.
UACGUAGGCAGCAAGCGUUGUUCGGAAUUACUGGGCGUAAAGAGUGUGUAGGCGGUGCUCUAAGUUCGGUGUGAAAUCUCCCGGCUCAACUGGGAGGGUGCGCCGGAAACUGGAGUGCUGGAGCGCGGGAGAGGAAAGCGGAAUUCCUGGUGUAGCGGUGAAAUGCGUAGAUAUCAGGAGGAACACCGAUGGCGAAGGCAGCUCGCUGGGACGUGACUGACGCUGAGACGCGAAAGCGUGGGGAGCAAACAGG